This is a long non-coding RNA of Drosophila arizonae, 863 nucleotides long. Lineage: Eukaryota; Metazoa; Arthropoda; Insecta; Diptera; Drosophilidae. The record is from RefSeq and is a predicted model, not a curated record.
AAAAAAAAAAAAAAAGAAAAAAAGAAAAACAAGCACUCGAGGCGCUCUCCGAAUUGUGACAAAUAAACAUAAAUAAACAAAUUAAACGUGCGACACACUCUUGAGCAGAAAAGCAAAAGAAGAAGCAGAAGGCAGCUGCGCAGGCACGAAAAUGCGUUUCAUAUGACGGCUGCCACAAAUGUAACCGAAUAUGUUGAUGACUAUUGGCCAUAUAUGCAUGCAUGCAUAUGUGUGUGUGUGUGUGUGUGUGUGUGUGUGUGUUAGCUUAGUCAUAACUGUGAGCUGAGCUGCCUUCUGGCUUUGCAGAAAUAAUAUUGGGCAUAAAGCGCCAACAGACGUCGGGGCGUAUGCGCAAUGCGAUGCUUGAGUGAAUGGCGACUAAUGAAUGGACUCGACAUUCUAAACCAGGCAACAUAAAUGUGAAAGAGCGGGAGUUGGAUAAGGAAAGAGUGAGAUAGAGAGAGAGAGAGAGAGAGAGUUUCUCGGGGGAAACUUAUCAGUGUCAACGUUGUGCCAAUAAAAACUAUACCAGCAUGCAAAUAUGUCCACAAUCAAACAAAUAGCUGCUAACAGCAGCAGCAGCACAAUACAAGCAAGCCCGAGAUGUUGGCCAACAAAUUCUGAGGAUCCCCACAGGACGAGCWACAACAACAACAACAAGAGCAGCACAAAUGGAACAUGCAUAAGGCAUGCAGAAAUAAUGGUAAAGAGCAAAGCGACAACCAACAAAGAAAAAGGCGCAGCACAGAAAGUGAAGCGCUCCAAGCUGAAGAAGAAGAAGCAGGAGCAGCAGCAGCAGCAGCUGCCUUAUGUUUUCCUGUUUCGCCACAGGACAACGGCAUAAGAGGACACACAACAGGCAG